GCUAAUACCGCAUAACAACGAAAACCAACAUGGCUUUCGUUUUAAAGUAUGGUUUCGGCUAUCACUUCAGGAUGGGCCCGCGGUGCAUUAGCUAGUUGGUAAGGUAACGGCUUACCAAGGCGAUGAUGCAUAGCCGAGUUGAGAGACUGAUCGGCCACAAUGGAACUGAGACACGGUCCAUACUCCUACGGGAGGCAGCAGAG
This 203-nucleotide ribosomal RNA is filed under the name uncultured Lactobacillus sp. Its description in RNAcentral is "partial 16S ribosomal RNA". It matches the Rfam family "Bacterial small subunit ribosomal RNA", at positions 162 to 354 of the family's 1533-position model. The record is from RNAcentral. Lineage: Bacteria; Bacillati; Bacillota; Bacilli; Lactobacillales; Lactobacillaceae.